CACAGCCUUAAACUUUGCAAGUCGAGCGGUAGAGAGAAGCUUGCUUUCUCUUGAGAGCGGCGGACGGGUGAGUAUUGCCUAGGAAUCUGCCUGGUAGUGGGGGAUAACGUUCGGAAACGGCCGCUAAUACCGCAUACGUCCUACGGGAGAAAGCAGGGGACCUUCGGGCCUUGCGCUAUCAGAUGAGCCUAGGUCGGAUUAG
Molecule: ribosomal RNA, 202 nt
Filed under: Pseudomonas sp. Na5-1
Lineage: Bacteria; Pseudomonadati; Pseudomonadota; Gammaproteobacteria; Pseudomonadales; Pseudomonadaceae
Description: partial 16S ribosomal RNA
Rfam family: Bacterial small subunit ribosomal RNA
Source: RNAcentral